Molecule: ribosomal RNA, 402 nt
Filed under: uncultured bacterium
Lineage: Bacteria
Description: bacterial SSU rRNA
Rfam family: Bacterial small subunit ribosomal RNA
Source: RNAcentral
UCGGGAAUGUUGGGCAAUGGGCGAAAGCCUGACCCAGCAACGCCGCGUGAGGGAUGAAGUAUUUCGGUAUGUAAACCUCGAAAGAAUGGGAAGAAUAAAUGACGGUACCAUUUAUAAGCUCCGGCUAACUACGUGCCAGCAGCCGCGGUAAUACGUAGGGAGCAAGCGUUGUUCGGAUUUACUGGGCGUAAAGGGCGCGUAGGCGGCGCGGUAAGUCACUUGUGAAAUCUCUGAGCUUAACUCAGAACGGCCAAGUGAUACUGCUGUGCUAGAGUGCGGAAGAGGCAACCGGAAUUCUUGGUGUAGCGGUGAAAUGCGUAGAUAUCAAGAGGAACACCUGAGGCGAAGGCGGGUUGCUGGGCCGACACUGACGCUGAUGCGCGAAAGCCAGGGGAGCAAACG